This 253-nucleotide ribosomal RNA is filed under the name uncultured bacterium. RNAcentral's name for it is "partial 16S ribosomal RNA". It matches the Rfam family "Bacterial small subunit ribosomal RNA", at positions 524 to 776 of the family's 1533-position model. The record is from RNAcentral.
GACGUAGGGCGCGAGCGUUGUCCGGAUUUAUUGGGCGUAAAGAGCUCGUAGGCGGCUCGUUGCGUCGGCUGUGAAAACCCACAGCUUAACUGUGGGCCUGCAGCCGAUACGGGCGAGCUAGAGUUCGGUAGGGGAGACUGGAAUUCCUGGUGUAGCGGUGAAAUGCGCAGAUAUCAGGAGGAACACCAAUAGCGAAGGCAGCUCGCUGGGACGGUAUUGACGCUAAGGCGCGAAAGCGUGGGGAGCAAACAGG